This 133-nucleotide small nucleolar RNA is filed under the name Zostera marina. RNAcentral describes it as "Small nucleolar RNA snoR74". It matches the Rfam family "Small nucleolar RNA snoR74". The record is from Rfam by way of RNAcentral. Lineage: Eukaryota; Viridiplantae; Streptophyta; Magnoliopsida; Alismatales; Zosteraceae.
AUAAAAGCAGUGAUCUGUUGUCAUCUAUAAGGACAGAUCUCUUGUAUGCUACAGGUAAAUCACCGGCAUUGUUUUUGGGUGAGUCUGUUUUCAAUUUACAUGAUAAUAUGGCUCAAUACACAAUGCCACAUUU